RNAcentral lists this ribosomal RNA (255 nucleotides) under uncultured bacterium. Its description in RNAcentral is "partial 16S ribosomal RNA". It matches the Rfam family "Bacterial small subunit ribosomal RNA", at positions 524 to 777 of the family's 1533-position model. The record is from RNAcentral.
UACAGAGGGGCAAGCGUUAUUCGGAAUUAUUGGCGUAAAGGGCGCGUAGGCGGCUUUGCAAGUGGCGGGUGAAAUCCCUCCGGCUUAACCGAGGAAGCUGCCUGCCAGACUGUGAGGCUUGAGACCGGGAGAGGUGAGUGGAAUUCCCAGUGUAGCGGUAGAAAUGCGUAGAUAUUGGGAGGAACACCAGUGGCGAAGGCGGCUCACUGGACCGGAACUGACGCUGAGGCGCGAAAGCGUGGGGAGCAAACAGGG